UUGUCUAAUUUCCGGUGUGGAAU
RNAcentral lists this small nuclear RNA (23 nucleotides) under Arabidopsis thaliana (thale cress). Its description in RNAcentral is "snRNA_07283". The record is from RNAcentral. Lineage: Eukaryota; Viridiplantae; Streptophyta; Magnoliopsida; Brassicales; Brassicaceae.